Molecule: ribosomal RNA, 445 nt
Filed under: Parathelphusa palawanensis
Lineage: Eukaryota; Metazoa; Arthropoda; Malacostraca; Decapoda; Gecarcinucidae
Description: partial 16S ribosomal RNA
Rfam family: Bacterial large subunit ribosomal RNA
Source: RNAcentral
GUCUAUUUGAAGUUAUAGAAAGUCUGGCCUGCCCACUGAGAAGUAAAUUUAAGGGCCGCGGUAUUAUGACCGUGCAAAGGUAGCAUAAUCAUUAGAUUUUUAAAUGGAAUCUUGUAUGAAUGGUUGGACAAAGAAAAAGCUGUCUUUUGUUUUAAAAAUUGAAUUUUACUUUUAGGUGAGAAGGCUUAAAUGGUUUAGAGGGACGAUAAGACCCUAUAAAGCUUUACAUUAUAACUAUAUUUGGUAAAAUUUUAAUAGUAAAGUUUGGUGUAGUUUUUGUUAUGUUGGGGAGAUGAAAGUAUAAAUUAUAAUAACUGCUUGAAUUAUAUACAAUUAUAAGUGGAAAAAAAAUGAUCCUGAAAUAUAGAUUAAAAGAUUAAGUUACUUUAGGGAUAACAGUGUAAUUUUUUUUGAGAGUUCAUAUCGAAAAAAAAGUUUGCAACCU